AUUUUAACAAUAUUUAUAUUAUUUAUAUAUUCAUAAAAUAUAUUAUAUAUAAAA
Molecule: small RNA, 54 nt
Filed under: Plasmodium falciparum 3D7
Lineage: Eukaryota; Apicomplexa; Aconoidasida; Haemosporida; Plasmodiidae
Description: Pfa-npcR7530
Source: RNAcentral